AGAGUUUGAUCCUGGCUCAAGAUGAACGCUGGCGGCAUGCCUAAUACAUGCAAGUCGAACGAGGGUCCUUCGGGACUCGAGUGGCGAACGGGUGAGUAACACGUAGGGAACCUGCCCGUGCGACCGGGAGAACUUUCGGAAACGGAAGCUGAUACCGGAUAGGGACAGAGACGGCAUCGACUCUGUGUUAAAGGAGCUGAAAGGCUCCGCGCACGGAUGGACCUGCGGUGCAUUAGCUGGUUGGUGAGGUAACGGCCCACCAAGGCGACGAUGCAUAGCCGGCCAGAGAGGGCGGACGGCCACACUGGGACUGAGACACGGCCCAGACUCCUACGGGAGGCAGCAGUAGGGAAUUUUCGUCAAUGGGCGCAAGCCUGAACGAGCAAUGCCGCGUGAACGAGGAAGGUCUUCGGAUCGUAAAGUUCUGUUGAAGGGGAAAAAGAGCGGAGAGAGGAAAUGGUCUCCGAUUGAUAUUACCCUUCGAGGAAGUCACGGCUAACUACGUGCCAGCAGCCGCGGUAAUACGUAGGUGGCGAGCGUUAUCCGGAAUGAUUGGGCGUAAAGGGUGCGUAGGCGGCCUGCUAAGUCUGGAGUGAAAGGUACCGGCUCAACCGGUACAGGCUCUGGAAACUGGCGGGCUAGAGAGCAGGAGAGGGCGGUGGAACUCCAUGUGUAGCGGUAAAAUGCGUAGAUAUAUGGAAGAACACCAGUGGCGAAGGCGGCCGCCUGGCCUGUUACUGACGCUGAGGCACGAAAGCGUGGGGAGCAAAUAGGAUUAGAUACCCUAGUAGUCCACGCCGUAAACGAUGAGGACCAAGUGUUGGGGAAGACCCAGUGCUGCAGUUAACGCAGUGAGUCCUCCGCCUGGGGAGUAUGCACGCAAGUGUGAAACUCAAAGGAAUUGACGGGGGCCCGCACAAGCGGUGGAGUAUGUGGUUUAAUUCGAAGCAACGCGAAGAACCUUACCAGGCCUUGACAUAGGGUGCGAAGCUAUGGAGACAUAGUGGAGGUAAACAUCCAUACAGGUGGUGCAUGGUUGUCGUCAGCUCGUGUCGUGAGAUGUUCAGUUAAGUCUGGCAACGAGCGCAACCCUCGUGAUGUGUUACCAAUAUCGAGUUAGGGACUCACAUCAGACUGCCGGUGAGAAACCGGAGGAAGGCGGGGAUGACGUCAAAUCAUCAUGCCCCUUAUGGCCUGGGCUACACACGUACUACAAUGGCGGCGACAGAGGGCAGCGAGCCUGCGAAGGCAAGCGAAUCCCCAAAAAGCCGUCCCAGUUCGGAUUGGAGUCUGCAACCCGACUCCAUGAAGUUGGAAUCGCUAGUAAUCGCGGAUCAGCAUGCCGCGGUGAAUACGUUCUCGGGCCUUGCACUCACCGCCCGUCA
Molecule: ribosomal RNA, 1385 nt
Filed under: uncultured bacterium
Lineage: Bacteria
Description: 16S ribosomal RNA
Rfam family: Bacterial small subunit ribosomal RNA
Source: RNAcentral